This 465-nucleotide ribosomal RNA is filed under the name uncultured Anaerovoracaceae bacterium. RNAcentral describes it as "bacterial SSU rRNA". It matches the Rfam family "Bacterial small subunit ribosomal RNA", at positions 1007 to 1481 of the family's 1533-position model. The record is from RNAcentral. Lineage: Bacteria; Bacillati; Bacillota; Clostridia; Peptostreptococcales; Anaerovoracaceae.
GUUAACCGGUCCCUCCUUCGGGCAGAAGAGACAGGUGGUGCAUGGUUGUCGUCAGCUCGUGUCGUGAGAUGUUGGGUUAAGUCCCGCAACGAGCGCAACCCUUGUCAUUAGUUGCCAUCAUUUAGUUGGGCACUCUAAUGAGACUGCCGGGGAUAACUCGGAGGAAGGUGGGGAUGACGUCAAAUCAUCAUGCCCCUUAUGUCCUGGGCUACACACGUGCUACAAUGGCUGGUACAAAGAGACGCAAGACCGCGAGGUGGAGCAAAUCUUCAAAACCAGUCCCAGUUCGGAUUGUAGGCUGAAACUCGCCUGCAUGAAGUCGGAGUUGCUAGUAAUCGUGAAUCAGAAUGUCACGGUGAAUGCGUUCCCGGGUCUUGUACACACCGCCCGUCACACCAUGGAAGCUGGGGGCGCCCAAAGUUGGUCGAGAAAUAGAUUACCUAAGGCGAAAUCAGUGACUAGGGU